UUUUUCAAGAAAAAUAUUUUUUGGUGUUUGAUUGCAAGAAACGACUUAUUUUUUUAUUUUUCUCAUACUAAAUACAUUACAACAACAUAACUAGUAUUAUCUCACAACGUGAGGUUUGGGGAGGGUAGUGUAUACGCAAACCUUACCCUUACCCUUGUGAGGAUAAAGAGGUUGUUUUCGAUAGACCCUCAGCUUAGGAAAGCAUAAGCAACACAUUAAUUAAAAUAUUGACAAGAAAGGACAGCACCAAAAAAACAAAUAAAAAAUACAAGAUAGUAAGGUGAUCAACAAUGAAAGAAAAUAACGGUUAGUCAUAAAAACAUACUACCACCAUAAAGCGAGAUUGCGUAUCAAUCCAACUGUUAUGAAUACUCUAGACUACUUACUCUACUACCCUAAUCCUCGACUUUCAUAUCUUUCUAUUAAGGGUGAUGUCCUAUGUCACCAAAGAAACAACUAUAUCAAUCGAACUUUGUGAGCUGAUGAGAAAUGCUUGGCUGCAGAUAUCAUAGUUGCCUCAGGUCCAGAUAUAGAAUUUUUCACAACUUUGGUUUCAUUUUUAAUGAAGAAGCACGAAAGAAAUGGCCUAAGAGAAGAAGAGAAAUCACUGUUUUUCUUCUUACCGUAACUCAUUUUCUUUGCUUUCCAGAAUUUAAUAUUUCAGCAGAUUUUGAGAAGAAAUAAGAAAAUGUUGAGAUUGAAGAAUAGAAGUCAAUAUAGAUCACAAAGACAAAAGGGGUUGGCUUUUCUUGAGUGUGUUUUACAUUGAUGAAAUUAAGCCCUAUAUAUACAUAUAUAUGCUUAUGUAGGGAAACAACAUUGCCUCUUCGCCUGGGCAAAGGAAAUUAGUAAAGUUCUUGAGAUAUUUAAAAGUUGUAUUUGAAUAUAAAUACAAUU
Molecule: long non-coding RNA, 897 nt
Filed under: Nicotiana benthamiana
Lineage: Eukaryota; Viridiplantae; Streptophyta; Magnoliopsida; Solanales; Solanaceae
Description: long non-coding RNA (NBEN_LNC039199)
Source: RNAcentral